This is a long non-coding RNA of Triticum dicoccoides, 758 nucleotides long. RefSeq lists it as uncharacterized. NCBI's taxonomy places the organism in Eukaryota, Viridiplantae, Streptophyta, Magnoliopsida, Poales, Poaceae. The record is from RefSeq and is a predicted model, not a curated record. The transcript has 5 exons.
GUCACGGGUUGUCGCCAUGCUCCCCUCCUCUGCACGUCAUCGCCUGAAGGUCACCGUUGCCGCCGCCGAUUUACUCCCCAUUCCCCUCCACCAACGAUGUCCAAUGUGUCCGUCUCCAGGGAUCCAACUAUGGAUGUCGCUUUGUUUCCUUCCUUUUCUGAUCAUCUCGUCCACAACGCAGCGGUGGCCGCGGUGCGGACAAUCGGUGGAAAGUAGGUAGGGAAGGCCCGACAGUGGUGCCACGCGGGAUGAAGCAACGGCGGCACAGGAGCUUCCCGGCACAGGCUUUGCACUACAGAGCAGUUGGUGGUAGGAAGGGCAGAGGACGCGAAGAACUCAUGGUUAGUUACGGCAACAGGAGGAGGAGGAAGCACUUCUCUGACAAGAUCCAUAGCUCCCCACCUUUGUAUUUCCAAUGUAUAUAUCUCAGAUCGGCGUGUCACGGGAGCGGAUACGGCGGCAGACACAAGGAGAGCAAAGCGAAGCCGGCGCGACGGCCAGGCCCUCCAAGCACACAGCCACUGCCUCCUUGCCAAGAUACGCUAGCCUGCAUCUACAAGGAAAAAAAAGGAACUUGCCUGUAUGGUGUUCACUAAAAAGAAGAAUCUGCUAAAAGAUUGGAUGUGGGCUGUACGUGGACAUGAACUUGUUCCUGGGAUUCAGAAGGGAGGACGUGCCAUGGAACUUCGAGAAGACGGAUAACCAUGUGUACCUCCAUGUCGUGCUUUGGUAGAAGCCAGAUGCCGACGAGUCAGAAC